Molecule: ribosomal RNA, 433 nt
Filed under: uncultured bacterium
Lineage: Bacteria
Description: partial 16S ribosomal RNA
Rfam family: Bacterial small subunit ribosomal RNA
Source: RNAcentral
AACGAACGCUGGCGGCAUGCCUAACACAUGCAAGUCGAACGAGACCUUCGGGUCUAGUGGCGCACGGGUGCGUAACGCGUGUGAAUCUACCCUCAGGUUCGGAAUAACUCAGAGAAAUUUGAGCUAAUACCGGAUGAUGACGUAAGUCCAAAGAUUUAUCGCCUGAGGAUGAGCCCGCUUAGGAUUAGGUAGUUGGUGAGGUAAAGGCUCACCAAGCCGACGAUCCUUAGCUGGUCUGAGAGGAUGAUCAGCCACACUGGGACUGAGACACGGCCCAGACUCCUACGGGAGGCAGCAGUGGGGAAUAUUGGACAAUGGGCGAAAGCCUGAUCCAGCAAUGCCGCGUGAGUGAUGAAGGCCUUAGGGUUGUAAAGCUCUUUUACCCGGGAUGAUAAUGACAGUACCGGGAGAAUAAGCUCCGGCUAACUCCGUG